Molecule: long non-coding RNA, 595 nt
Filed under: Malus domestica (apple)
Lineage: Eukaryota; Viridiplantae; Streptophyta; Magnoliopsida; Rosales; Rosaceae
Description: long non-coding RNA (MDOM_LNC013226)
Source: RNAcentral
UUCGUUUUUACUUUAAGUAGGUUAUAAAAUCAAUCAUCCAAAUUUCUACUUUACAAUCAUUAAUUAAAAUCUGAUUUGUUUCGAAUUAUUUAAUAAUCCCUGUGGAGAAUGACCUUGCGAGAUCCGUUUAUACUACAAUAACCUUGUGAUUCUUGCAAGUAAAAUAGAAGGUUUUUAUCGCAUUCACAUGAGUAGUAAAUAUCCCUAUCAUCUCUUACAUUUUAUUGAAAAAAAAAUAAAAUGAAAAAUGAAAGUUAUCGAUUUUCUAUUUGAGUGAGAGUUGCGACCUAGGUGGGUGCCUAGACGGAGCUAUGUGACGACCCGUCCCUAAUUCUAUGUUUUUACAAAUUUUAAAAGCAUAAUUUUAUAAAAAGGGCCUUAGAGGCGAGGAUAUUGACUUUUGUGGACCAACGUUUAGUGAGACGUACGAAAUAUUUCUAUAGCGAUCCAAGGUGGGUAUAUUACUAUUUUAUAUCUUCUUUAUAUCUUUGCAUUCAAACUAUAUUAUAAUAUAAGGUUAUUUGAGAGUAAGGAAAAAAGAAAAAAUUAAGAAGGGAAAGUUGCCUGAUGGCAAUGAAGGAGAGGAGAGGAAGAG